Molecule: long non-coding RNA, 469 nt
Filed under: Physcomitrium patens
Lineage: Eukaryota; Viridiplantae; Streptophyta; Bryopsida; Funariales; Funariaceae
Description: long non-coding RNA (PPAT_LNC006770)
Source: RNAcentral
AGAAUUAUUGAAUAGAAUAAAAAUUUGUUCUAGAGUUGCAUAGAAGAUUGAAUUGUGAUUUAGUUUAAGAAGGCAAAUGAAAGAAUCUAAGAAAAAGAAGGCAAGGAUUAUGGCCAAAAGGAAUUGUUAGUCAUGAGAAUAUGAAUAGAUUCAGAUGAGUAGAGAAGGUUGUUGAUUAGGAGGAAGAGGGGGUGCCAAUUUUAGAAGAAUUCGAGUUGACUAAAAGAGAAGUAAAGGCAAUGCUACUGUGGAUUGAUAUUGAUGGAUCUAAGUUGUGCAACCAUUUGAGAGGAAGCGUUGAGGUAAACACAUUCCUAUCAAAGAAAAUGAGAACAAUGGUGUUGUGGGGAUGUGGAAAUGAUCUAGUAGUGACAAGGAUAAGUGAUGGCUUAGGAGUUGAUGACCAAGGUAGAUUAGUUGUGAUUUUUUAUAUUAUUAUAAGGUGAUAAUUGAUUUCUAGUAGUGAUUC